This is a long non-coding RNA of Myotis brandtii (Brandt's bat), 355 nucleotides long. RefSeq lists it as uncharacterized. Lineage: Eukaryota; Metazoa; Chordata; Mammalia; Chiroptera; Vespertilionidae. The record is from RefSeq and is a predicted model, not a curated record. The transcript has 3 exons.
UGUUAUUUAUAAGGAUCCCGAGACUCGGAAACUUAGCUACUGCGUAGCAGAUUAAGUAUUUCACUCCCUGGAUGUUUUGCUCACAAGCUUGUGCUUGCUGCUUGGACGUAGCCCCAUGACCCUCAAGUAAAUGCUGAUGGGUAUGUAUGGGACAUGCAAGGAAGAUGCAGAGAGGAAAGAGGCCUUACUCAUCUGUCGAGUCUCCUAAGGUUGCAUCUCCUGUAGCAGGCUUCCUCUGCACACACCCACCAUUGCUCAGCGGGAGCUCCCACAGCAUUAGCAGAGGGCCUCACCUCAGAGAAGUCAGAAUGGAAGUAUGGGAAGACCAGGGAGGUGUGGUCAGUUUGUCGUCACU